CGAGCACUCGCCGGUAUACCCUUUGUGCUGUGAUAAGCACUGUAAGCACAGGCUGUCCCGUCUCGUGCACGUUCAAUCGUUUCCACUUGUUUCCCUCCUAUGCUCAGGGACCUAUAAAUUUUAAGAUUAUUAUUUAGGUGAUCUACAUACAUCUCAUGAAGCAGUGAUGUGAUCUAGUACAGGGACGUAUUAUGGUUAACUAAGAAUCGCAGUGGUCUUACAGGAUUGUUGAAAUAACAACCCAGAACAUUAAGAUCGCAGUCACAAGAUCGUACAACUCAAAUCAAGUUCUCUAAAGUGAUGGAACAUGCCUUAAAUCUCGGAGAACUUAUAGUACUCUGAAGAGCCUCAAGAGCGGAGCCUUAUUGAUAAUAUAAUCGCAGAAUUUACAUUAGGUAGCAGAGAAAGAGUAAGAGGGAGGGGGCGGCGGCGGUGAGAAACGCUCGUUAGGUUCCACGGAAAAAGGAAAACAAGCAAAAGGUUCUGGCUUCAAGGCUUUGACAAACAGGACAAUUUGAAAGUCUACCGAAAGGUUAAUCGAAUCGGACGCUCUUUAGUUUCAAUUGUAUCCAUGCAUCGAAGCAAGUCUGAUUCAUUGAUCGCAAAUCGAUAGACGCGAUUCACGUUGAUGGCAGGCGAUGUUACAGAAUCGUACUUUAAAUUCAUUUGCAUCUUCAGCCGGCUAGUAUUGGAGUAUAUUCUGAAUCUCGUUUCCGGUAUCUAUUGUGCACCAUCUGGCACGUAUCGCGGAGCCGCAAUCAUUUACAAAAUAGUCGCGACAUCCCGACAUGUUGCAAAUUGCUGAAUUUUAACUUCGUCCCCAUCCUUCCCUUCAUAUUCGUAACGAUCCUCAUUGUAGAAGACGUAUUGUAAUGAAAUAGGAUGGAAUUUAUUUUAAUGGGUUCGUGAUUUGGAUAAACAGACGAUCAAAUGAAUUGAGCGUAAGAAACACAAAUAUCAGGAUAUAAAAGGAAUAGAUUGAGCAAUAUUAUCGUUAAAUGUAAUUGAAACGAUAUUCCAUUACAUUCAGUUGAGAUAUUUGUCGAAACAUUCAUCAUAUUUGCUAUUCAUCAAACAUAUCGUUCUAGACUAACUAGAAGUUACUGAAAAUAACUUUCUCCCACUAAAUAUGAAUAUUUUUAUAGCGGUACUUCCGUUUUAUGUUCCAUCUAUGAAAUUACAUCUCCUAAAAUGACGCCCAUAUAAAAUAAAUAUCGCCUCUAUAGAGUUUCCAAUAUCGUCGGUGAACUUUAGUAUUUUAUGCACAAAUUUACAUUCGAGUCUUCGUGUAUAAUCUUCAAUUUCAAUGCGUUUUAUCCUUUCUAAUCGAUCGACAAUCGAUCCUAAGUGUAUCCGCUUAUAAAUGAAUCGGUACAAACGUAAAGUUUCGACAGAGCUACAAAUAAAAGGAGGAAGUUAUUUCAAGCGUUUCGUUAAGCGUUCCUUUGCUAAAUACGUAAUCGGCUAGUAGAAAAUGCAUUUUUGCAUUGGCGUAUCGGAUAAAUUUUCGCUGUUCAACGAAAACAAUACGUGCGUGCGUUUCUAUAAAUAGUAAAUUCAUAUAGUGUAUGCUUUAAAUAUUAAUACAUUCCGCAUAGUAACCGCGGUGUAACUUGGCUUCACUUCAAGCCUUGUCGUAUAUUUUUAGUGUUUUGCAGGAGCAAAUGAUCCCUACGCGUAUCAAUGUCGAGCAUCAUUCACGUGUUAGAAAUGAGUUCUCGUGACGCAGAAGCAUAUACAUAUAAUGUAUAAUUAUUUGGUAAUGCGAAGCCAACCAGCGUCAGAGAUUUUGCUUGCUGUUUAAAUAGUUCAAAUUAUAGUCCUUGAUAUAGCGUUCUAUGAGGGAGGAAAUUGGAACAGAAAAUCGUUGUUCAACAAGCGUAAUACUUUCUCUUACUUCCUUUUGUAUAUUUCAAAAAAAGAAUAUAAGGAAGAGGAAGGAAAUUUAUAUUCAUUUAUUCGAUACAUAAAACGAGUUAAUUUGUCGCUCGAACCAGUAAUAAUUUACACCGAAUAGUUCAUGUUUAUAGGGUUUAUUAACUUCUUAAAUAGACUAUAACAUAUAACAUUAUGUUAAAUAUAAUAACAUUGGUUUCAAAAAUACUUUGUCGCAUUUAUACGAAUUUUGUUUCGUAAGCAAAUACAAAUCUGGUUAUGAAGAUUUAAUCUUCUGGUUCAGAAAGACUUUCCCAUUGGGAAAUGACCCAGUUAUACAAUAGUUAAGUAUAAAAGUUAAAUAUCGGUUUAAUAUUGCGUCCAUCAUCAUAAUAGUUUGCUCUGUUUCAGUUGGAAAUACAGAGACUCGAAAAUUGGAAAAGUGAUUCGAGCACGAGAAAUCUUGGCAAUCGAAAUUAUAGCAGUUGAUUCCACAGGUUCAUUAAGA
Long non-coding RNA from Bombus impatiens (common eastern bumble bee), 2383 nucleotides. RefSeq lists it as uncharacterized. The transcript has 4 exons. NCBI's taxonomy places the organism in Eukaryota, Metazoa, Arthropoda, Insecta, Hymenoptera, Apidae. The record is from RefSeq and is a predicted model, not a curated record.